Cygnus olor (mute swan) is the source of this 421-nucleotide long non-coding RNA. RefSeq lists it as uncharacterized. The transcript is spliced from 3 exons. Lineage: Eukaryota; Metazoa; Chordata; Aves; Anseriformes; Anatidae. The record is from RefSeq and is a predicted model, not a curated record.
GGAACGGGCAGGGCCGAGAAGGGAGCGGGGAGCGGGCCGGGACUGCACCGCCUCCCUCCGGGCGGGCCUGGUGCUAGAGGGCGGGCCUGGAGCUCUGUGGUGUGUCUGGGUGCCUCGGCUCGCCCUCAGGUCGUGAAGAGCAAGAAAAUAACGCCAGUGUGAUCUCCCAGUGUUGUGACCCGUGGGGGUAUGAUGAGGGAGCUCUCGCCCUGAAAGACCUGACGAGCCUGUCAGCUGGCUCCUGGUGUCCCUGUGUCCUCGGCAGACCUCAUGGCAGGGUGGUGAAGAAGUUAUGCAGCUUGUAGGAGAUGAGAGCAUUCGCUGAAGAAGUGCAGAUGAUUUACGAAAUGCUGGUCAGUGAAAAUCAACCAGUCACCUUUAACAUUACAAAAUGCAUCUUCAGGACAAGGGACACAGGGAG